Long non-coding RNA from Musa acuminata AAA Group (dessert banana), 399 nucleotides. RefSeq lists it as uncharacterized. The transcript has 3 exons. The record is from RefSeq and is a predicted model, not a curated record. Lineage: Eukaryota; Viridiplantae; Streptophyta; Magnoliopsida; Zingiberales; Musaceae.
UCACAGGGGGGGGGCAGUCCAAAUUUUUGGCACAAAGCAUCAUCAUGACAAAUGGCUGAAGGCUGCUGAGAAUUUUCAGGUUAAGGGCUGUUUUGUGAUGACCGAGUUGGGGCAUGGAAGUAAUGUCAGAGGACUUGAGACUAUCACGACUUAUGAUGCAAACACAGGAGAGUUUGUGAUAAACACUCCCUGUGAAUCAGCACAGAAGUAUUGGAUAGGAGGAGCUGCUAAUGAUGCAACACAUGCAGUAAUCUUCUCUCAGCUCCUUAUAAAUGGGACCAACCAAGGGGUGCAUGUAUUUAUAGCACAAAUCAGAGAUGCAGAAGGAAAUGUUUGUCCCAAUGUUCGCGUCGCUGAUUGUGGUCAUAAAAUUGGCUUGAAUGGUGUUGAUAAUGGCAG